AGAUUCCUAUUUACUUGCCGUUAGUUAAUUGAAUGUAACGCUAUAAUAUUUAGCUAAAGCUCACAACGUUAAGGCAGGUUAGAACAUGGUUACUUACAACAUACGGGGUUUGUGCCAACGGCAAAGCCGUUGGCAUACUCUUUUGAAAUCAAGCUACAACUCUAGGCAUGCCGGUGUGGUGCACUUAAUUAUAAACUAAUAGCUUUUACGUAGUACAAACUUACACUCACGGAGCUUCGCUCCUGUUUUGAUAAAUAGUAACAGAAUUUUUACAAAAAUUAACCGGUCGCUGGAUGCCGAAGGCAAAACUUCAUGAACGAGGGCCGAAGCCCAAUUUUAGUGACUACAAUGAAUAUAUGUGAAGGUUUUUUGGCCCCAACUUAUCUUGUAACGGUCGCUUGUGCUACAAACCCGUAGUCCUACUUUUUUACUCGAACUUCACAGUGUGAGCUCUGUAAGUUUUUUUAUAUAGUUUAACGAUAUUAAACUUUUUUAGAGCAACCUUGGCUUCACCUUCCUCACAACGCAUUCCCCGAAGAAGACGCGCUGUGUGGUACUUCGUUCCAAUAGUAUACCUACGUUGUUUUAAGGCUACAGCCUGUUAUCUAAUAAAAGCGUUUGAAAAACAAGGCUUGCUUUGUUUCCAACCUUAGCUAGGUAAUGCGACAACUUGACAUAACUAGGCGUAAAGCACUCAUAGAGCGUCUUAUGUAUCAAUUUCCAUAGGGCCUACACGUCCGUUUUAGAACUUGUGUUAAAGACCCUGAAGUAGUCGGAGGUUUACAAAUAGUCCCGGNCAUAAGAAGCCUAUGGCUUACUGCACAGCAAAUAAACCCCCCCAGGUCCUUUUGUUUGUGGAGAGGAGCGUGUUGUAGACCCAGCAUAAAAAGUUUCGGUACUUUUGUUUUUUAUGCUUCGUGUUAAUAAUCCAGAGUAAGACAAUUCAUUCGUUACUUAACCAGUAGUUGUUAACAACUAGCACUAAAGUAGCACGGUGCUGUAGCACACUUCUGGCUGAAGCUAUGUUGUGGAAACUGGCUUAAGGCCGGGAAACGAAAUAUCGAAGGAAACUCCCAACGGAGUUUAUAACGUAGCUUUUUUUUGCGAAACAGCUGCUCGUUAAGAGUUGGGACUUCGGCUGGAUGAUUUAAUAAUAACUACAACCUAGGCCUCUACUUCGUAGGUCCUAAGGGUUCUUACAACAGCUUUAGUUCAAGACACGGUUUAUUUUUUAAACUCUGUCAGGGCGCAGCCUAAAGCUAGCAUCCCCCUAAUAAAGUUCACUUAUGUUCGUUAAAAUUCACAUAAAAUAUAACAAGUAUACAACUUAUGAGUUCGCUUAGUGACUUUUUAUUUUAUUUUAUUUUAUUUUAUUUUAUUUUAUUUUAUUUUAUUUUAUUUUAUUUUAUUUUAUUUUAUUUUAUUUUAUUUUAUUUUAUUUUAU
This 1444-nucleotide long non-coding RNA is filed under the name Volvox carteri. Its description in RNAcentral is "long non-coding RNA (VCAR_LNC004391)". Lineage: Eukaryota; Viridiplantae; Chlorophyta; Chlorophyceae; Chlamydomonadales; Volvocaceae. The record is from RNAcentral.